This 87-nucleotide transfer RNA is filed under the name Candidatus Komeilibacteria bacterium. RNAcentral's name for it is "tRNA-Leu". It matches the Rfam family "tRNA". Rfam says of the family: Transfer RNA (tRNA) molecules are approximately 80 nucleotides in length. Their secondary structure includes four short double-helical elements and three loops (D, anti-codon, and T loops). Further hydrogen bonds mediate the characteristic L-shaped molecular structure. tRNAs have two regions of fundamental functional importance: the anti-codon, which is responsible for specific mRNA codon recognition, and the 3' end, to which the tRNAs corresponding amino acid is attached (by aminoacyl-tRNA synthetases). tRNAs cope with the degeneracy of the genetic code in two manners: having more than one tRNA (with a specific anti-codon) for a particular amino acid; and 'wobble' base-pairing, i.e. permitting non-standard base-pairing at the 3rd anti-codon position. The record is from RNAcentral. Lineage: Bacteria; Candidatus Komeiliibacteriota.
GCCGCGGUGGUGAAACUGGCAGACACGCAGCGUUCAGAGCGCUGUAUCCGCAAGGGUGUGUGGGUUCAAAUCCCACCCGCGGCACCA